RNAcentral lists this ribosomal RNA (399 nucleotides) under uncultured bacterium. RNAcentral's name for it is "partial 16S ribosomal RNA". It matches the Rfam family "Bacterial small subunit ribosomal RNA", at positions 360 to 776 of the family's 1533-position model. The record is from RNAcentral.
AAUAUUGCACAAUGGGGGAAACCCUGAUGCAGCGACGCCGCGUGAGUGAAGAAGUAUUUCGGUAUGUAAAGCUCUAUCAGUAGGGAAGAAAGUGACGGUACCUGACUAAGAAACCCCGGCUAACUACGUGCCACCAGCCGCGGUAAUACGUAGGGGGCAAGCGUUCGCCGGAUUUACUGGGUGUAAAGGGAGCGUAGGUGGUGCGUCAAGUCAGAUGUGAAAGCCCGGGGCUCAACCCCGGGACUGCAUUUGAAGCUGUCGAACUAGAGUGCAGGAGAGGUAAGUGGAAUUCCUAGUGUAGCGGUGAAAUGCGUAGAUAUUAGGAGGAACACCAGUGGCGAAGGCGGCUUACUGGACUGUAACUGACACUGAGGCUCGAAAGCGUGGGGAGCAAACAGG